RNAcentral lists this ribosomal RNA (255 nucleotides) under Streptomyces sp. SID14478. RNAcentral describes it as "partial 23S ribosomal RNA". It matches the Rfam family "Bacterial large subunit ribosomal RNA", at positions 2678 to 2925 of the family's 2925-position model. Lineage: Bacteria; Bacillati; Actinomycetota; Actinomycetes; Kitasatosporales; Streptomycetaceae. The record is from RNAcentral.
CUAGUACGAGAGGACCGGGACGGACGAACCUCUGGUGUGCCAGUUGUCCUGCCAAGGGCAUGGCUGGUUGGCUACGUUCGGAAAGGAUAACCGCUGAAAGCAUCUAAGCGGGAAGCCUGCUUCGAGAUGAGGACUCCCACCCCCUUUGAGGGGUUAAGGCUCCCAGUAGACGACUGGGUUGAUAGGCCAGAUCUGGAAGCCCGGUAACGGGUGGAGGUGACUGGUACUAAUAGGCCGAGGGCUUGUCCUCAGUUG